ACUAGGCUAGCUCAAUCGGUAGAGUAUAUAACUCUUAAUCUUAGGGUUGUAAGUUCGAGCCCUACACUAGGUG
This 73-nucleotide transfer RNA is filed under the name Mustela putorius furo (domestic ferret). It matches the Rfam family "tRNA". Rfam says of the family: Transfer RNA (tRNA) molecules are approximately 80 nucleotides in length. Their secondary structure includes four short double-helical elements and three loops (D, anti-codon, and T loops). The record is from Rfam by way of RNAcentral. Lineage: Eukaryota; Metazoa; Chordata; Mammalia; Carnivora; Mustelidae.